GGGUUGUGAGGUUAAGCGACUAAGCGUACACGGUGGAUGCCCUGGCAGUCAGAGGCGAUGAAGGACGUGCUAAUCUGCGAUAAGCGUCGGUAAGGUGAUAUGAACCGUUAUAACCGGCGAUUUCCGAAUGGGGAAACCCAGUGUGAUUCGUCACACUAUCAUUAACUGAAUCCAUAGGUUAAUGAGGCGAACCGGGGGAACUGAAACAUCUAAGUACCCCGAGGAAAAGAAAUCAACCGAGAUUCCCCCAGUAGCGGCGAGCGAACGGGGAGCAGCCCAGAGCCUGAAUCAGUGUGUGUGUUAGUGGAAGCGUCUGGAAAGGCGUGCGAUACAGGGUGACAGCCCCGUACACAAAAAUGCACAUAUUGUGAGCUCGAUGAGUAGGGCGGGACACGUGGUAUCCUGUCUGAAUAUGGGGGGACCAUCCUCCAAGGCUAAAUACUCCUGACUGACCGAUAGUGAACCAGUACCGUGAGGGAAAGGCGAAAAGAACCCCGGCGAGGGGAGUGAAAAAGAACCUGAAACCGUGUACGUACAAGCAGUGGGAGCACGCUUAGGCGUGUGACUGCGUACCUUUUGUAUAAUGGGUCAGCGACUUAUAUUCUGUAGCAAGGUUAACCGAAUAGGGGAGCCGAAGGGAAACCGAGUCUUAACUGGGCGUUAAGUUGCAGGGUAUAGACCCGAAACCCGGUGAUCUAGCCAUGGGCAGGUUGAAGGUUGGGUAACACUAACUGGAGGACCGAACCGACUAAUGUUGAAAAAUUAGCGGAUGACUUGUGGCUGGGGGUGAAAGGCCAAUCAAACCGGGAGAUAGCUGGUUCUCCCCGAAAGCUAUUUAGGUAGCGCCUCGUGAAUUCAUCUCCGGGGGUAGAGCACUGUUUCGGCAAGGGGGUCAUCCCGACUUACCAACCCGAUGCAAACUGCGAAUACCGGAGAAUGUUAUCACGGGAGACACACGGCGGGUGCUAACGUCCGUCGUGAAGAGGGAAACAACCCAGACCGCCAGCUAAGGUCCCA
This 1017-nucleotide ribosomal RNA is filed under the name Escherichia coli. RNAcentral's name for it is "partial 23S ribosomal RNA". It matches the Rfam family "Bacterial large subunit ribosomal RNA", at positions 1 to 1049 of the family's 2925-position model. Lineage: Bacteria; Pseudomonadati; Pseudomonadota; Gammaproteobacteria; Enterobacterales; Enterobacteriaceae. The record is from RNAcentral.